UAUUGGACCCGGGGGCGGUACCCGGCGCCUCCACCAAAAUAUAAACAACCAAAAUUAUAUUUUGGUGGGGGCGAAAUAGGAUCGACAAGGGUGUAAAGAUCGCUCUUUUACUCGGCAUUGUACCACCGUUAUCGGGCUAAAUGAGUAGUUGCAAAUGACAACUAUGCGGAAGCACGUCUCGCCGCCUAAGGUGGUGUGAAUGUUUCAAAUUGACUCUUAAACCGUCGCAGGUUUAAGCGGGGUUGGAAGG
RNAcentral lists this transfer-messenger RNA (250 nucleotides) under Bartonella sp. Mt-2286.3. RNAcentral describes it as "partial ssrA". It matches the Rfam family "Alphaproteobacteria transfer-messenger RNA", at positions 84 to 331 of the family's 355-position model. From Rfam's summary of the family: Bacterial tmRNA, also known as 10Sa RNA or SsrA, is named for its dual tRNA and mRNA-like properties. Its role is to liberate the mRNA from a stalled ribosome. To accomplish this part of the tmRNA is used as a reading frame that ends in a translation stop signal. The record is from RNAcentral. Lineage: Bacteria; Pseudomonadati; Pseudomonadota; Alphaproteobacteria; Hyphomicrobiales; Bartonellaceae.